GGGGGGGAAGGAGGGCGGCUGGAGAGCGCGCAGCGCCUUCAAACUGCUGCAGCUGGAGGAGCGCUUCCAGCUGUUCCGGGGAGUCACCCGGGCCGUGGAUCUCUGUGCUGCCCCCGGGAGCUGGAGCCAAGUGCUGAGUCGGCACCUCAGGGGGUCCGAGGGCUCCCCCCCCCAGGUGGUGGCCGUGGAUCUGCAGGCGAUGGCGCCGCUGCCGGGGGUGCUGCAGAUCCAGGGGGACAUCACCAAGGUGGGACCCCAAAACUGCCCUGGGCACCCCAAAAAACUGCCCCCCAAAAACCCCCUCGAGCCCCCCAAAACUGCCCUGAGCCCUGCAGAUUCAGGGGGACAUCACCAAGGUGGGACCCCAAAAACUGCCCUGAGCCUCCAAAAACUGCCCUGGGGACCCCAAAGCU
Ficedula albicollis (Collared flycatcher) is the source of this 413-nucleotide long non-coding RNA. RefSeq lists it as uncharacterized. The transcript has 4 exons. The record is from RefSeq and is a predicted model, not a curated record. NCBI's taxonomy places the organism in Eukaryota, Metazoa, Chordata, Aves, Passeriformes, Muscicapidae.